RNAcentral lists this ribosomal RNA (427 nucleotides) under uncultured beta proteobacterium. Its description in RNAcentral is "bacterial SSU rRNA". It matches the Rfam family "Bacterial small subunit ribosomal RNA", at positions 355 to 774 of the family's 1533-position model. Lineage: Bacteria; Pseudomonadati; Pseudomonadota; Betaproteobacteria. The record is from RNAcentral.
UGGGGAAUUUUGGACAAUGGGCGAAAGCCUGAUCCAGCCAUGCCGCGUGAGUGAAGAAGGCCUUCGGGUUGUAAAGCUCUUUUAGUCGGAAAGAAAGAGUUGCAAUGAAUAAUUGUGAUUUAUGACGGUACCGACAGAAAAAGCACCGGCUAACUACGUGCCAGCAGCCGCGGUAAUACGUAGGGUGCGAGCGUUAAUCGGAAUUACUGGGCGUAAAGGGUGCGCAGGCGGUCGUGAAAGUCAGAUGUGAAAGCCCCGGGCUUAACCUGGGAAUUGCGUUUGAAACUACAAGACUAGAGUGCAGCAGAGGGGAGUGGAAUUCCAUGUGUAGCAGUGAAAUGCGUAGAGAUGUGGAAGAACACCGAUGGCGAAGGCAGCUCCCUGGGGUGACACUGCCGCUCAUGCACGAAAGCGUGGGGAGCAAACA